AACUCAGAUUCAUGUGUUUGCUGAUGCCUGUGUGCUCCCCCAUCCUCCUUGCACAGCUUCAUUUGUGAGGCAUUGCACAGGGAACUGCACUCAUACAAAGUGAUUGUUACAACUUCAGUGUUUGUGGGAUUUUCUUUUUCAUUGUCUGCACCAGGUGACCCAAGAUGUGAUAUUGGACACUAACC
Molecule: long non-coding RNA, 185 nt
Organism: Serinus canaria (Common canary)
Lineage: Eukaryota; Metazoa; Chordata; Aves; Passeriformes; Fringillidae
Exons: 3
Source: RefSeq, a predicted model, not a curated record